Molecule: long non-coding RNA, 738 nt
Organism: Parus major (Great Tit)
Lineage: Eukaryota; Metazoa; Chordata; Aves; Passeriformes; Paridae
Exons: 3
Source: RefSeq, a predicted model, not a curated record
CCCUAUGCUAACAGAGCCUUUGAGUGGGAGGGAAGGAAAAUGUUGGUGUCUCCCCAUGGCCUCCAACAGUGAGGGGCCAGGGAACAGCAGGAACUUUUACAGUGAAGAAAUCUCUUCAAAAGUAGCUUUUAUUCUCACUGACCACCACAAGAGUUGCUGACAGCCCCUGGUUGCUGUCAGCCAACAAGGUUUAGCAAAGACCAGGAGCCUGAGCUGAUUCCCUCGUGCCUGGAUGCUGCCCUGUGUGUUUUGUCCCCGUGUUGUCAGCUCCCAGGCCAUGGACAGUGGCACAGUGGGGAUUUAAUGUCACCUGAGAUCUCAGCAACAGAAGGACAAAGGUUACUGUGUUCUCUGCAUCCUGCUGCCUUGGGGAGAUGGAAGACAAGGAGCAGACACCUUCUGUUUGGUUUCCCCCUAAUGGAGAGGGGAACAAGGGAGGUGACCUGACAGCUCUUGACAGUGAGAGGGAGAUGGAGUUGCCUGUGUCAGGAAAAAAAUAGACUCUCCUGCAAGAAUCAGGGGCUAGGAAGACAAAAAAAUAAGCAUUUUCUAUAUAUUACAAACAAAACUAUCUGCCAAAAGGGCAAGAUAAUUAUCCUAAUGUGAUUUUUGACCAAGAUAAAUUCACAUUAUUUUAUAAACUGGGUAACAAUUUGAAUCUUAUGCAAAACCUAGAAAUAAAUCUAAAAAAUAUGAUAAUGUAAUAAAAUUGAAAUUAUUAGCAGUCCAAGUGGCAUA